GAAACCUUUGCAAUAGGCGAAAGCCUGACAAGGUUACUCUGAGUGAUUUCCGCUAAGGGGAUCUUUUGACACCUCUAAAAACGGUGUAGAAUAAGGGGUGGGCAAGUCUGGUGUCAGCCGCCGCGGUAA
Molecule: ribosomal RNA, 129 nt
Filed under: uncultured crenarchaeote
Lineage: Archaea; Thermoproteati; Thermoproteota
Description: 16S ribosomal RNA
Rfam family: Archaeal small subunit ribosomal RNA
Source: RNAcentral